This 449-nucleotide ribosomal RNA is filed under the name uncultured bacterium. Its description in RNAcentral is "partial 16S ribosomal RNA". It matches the Rfam family "Bacterial small subunit ribosomal RNA", at positions 29 to 523 of the family's 1533-position model. The record is from RNAcentral.
AACGAACGCUGGCGGCAUGCCUAACACAUGCAAGUCGAACGAAGGCUUCGGCCUUAGUGGCGCACGGGUGCGUAACGCGUGGGAAUCUGCACCUCGGUUCGGAAUAACAGUUAGAAAUGACUGCUAAUACCGGAUGAUGACUUCGGUCCAAAGAUUUAUCGCCGAGGGAUGAGCCCGCGUAAGAUUAGGUAGUGGGUGGGGUAAAGGACUACCAAGCCGACGAUCUUUAGCUGGUCUGAGAGGAUGAUCAGCCACACUGGGACUGAGACACGGCCCAGACUCCUACGGGAGGCAGCAGUGGGGAAUAUUGGACAAUGGGCGAAAGCCUGAUCCAGCAAUGCCGCGUGAGUGAUGAAGGCCUUAGGGUUGUAAAGCUCUUUUACCAGGGAUGAUAAUGACAGUACCUGGAGAAUAAGCUCCGGCUAACUCCGUGCCAGCAGCCGCCGUAA